CCCCGCGGCCCCCAAUGCCUAAGAGGAAGGUUAGCACGGAUGGAGCAGAGAAGGCGGAGCCCAAGCGCCGCUCCGCCAGGCUGUCGGCCAAGCCGGCCCCUGCCAAGGUGGACACGAAGCCGAAAAAGGCCGCGGGAAAGGAUAAAGCAUCAGACAAAAAAGUUCAGAUAAAAGGGAAGAGGGGAGCAAAGGGUAAACAGGCUGAAGUGGCCGACCAGCAAACCACAGAUCUGCCUGCAGAAAAUGGAGAGACGGAAAACCAGAGUCCGGCCUCUAGAGAAGAGAAAGAAGCCAAGUCCGACUAAGCAUCCAUCACAUCUGUCAGUGUCCCUGCCUCCCUUCUUGUACAAUCCAGAGGAAUAUUUUUAUCAACUAUUUUGUAAAUGCCAGUUUUUUAGUAGCUCUAGAAACAUUUUUAAAAGGUGAGGGAAUCCUACCUCAUCCCAUUUUUUAAGUGUAAAUGGUUUUUUCAAGAGUUUAAAUCAUUUGCUGGUUGUUUAUUUUUUUGGUACAACUAGAAAAUAGCAGGAUACUGAAUCAGGAGAGGCUGUGACUGUCUUGGGGGUCACCAUAACAUUCCGUAGAGGGGGCUAGUUUUAUAUCCUACAAUACAAGGCAGUUUGGAGUCUCAGUCGUGCAUUUGUGUCUGGAAUAUUUUCAGUUAUAUCCGUCCCGUGUUUCCAGUAGAACCAUUUUAUAAGAAAGUCAGUCUUUGGUCCUUGCCCUGUCAGAACUGUGAUGACUAUGGUCAUGGCAGUCCAUUUUCCUAACUGUUGUGAUAAUGUGCUGUGAAAGAUGGAACUUUUGAGUAUGUUCUGUGUGUGGCAUAAAAUUGUGAAUUGGUGAAACUGAGUAUUAUGAGCAUUUGGUUGUUAUGAGAGGUCUUAGGGAAACUUGCCAAGUUUGAGGCUGGAACAUCACUGGAAUAAGUUCAAAGAAAAACAAUACGUAGCUCUUCAUUUGCGUACAUGAACACAAUGUGACUCUUCAGAGUUUGGGUACGUCAACAGAAUAUAUGUUUUUUUUUUUUUUUUUUUUUGAGUACAUGUGAUAGGAAUUGGAAUGUCUGUGUACUCUGCUCCUUGACCAAUAAAAUCUGUUGUGAAAG
RNA transcript from Mastomys coucha (southern multimammate mouse), 1108 nucleotides. It is a transcript of the gene named non-histone chromosomal protein HMG-14 pseudogene, with no coding region annotated. NCBI's taxonomy places the organism in Eukaryota, Metazoa, Chordata, Mammalia, Rodentia, Muridae. The transcript has a single exon. The record is from RefSeq and is a predicted model, not a curated record.